This 84-nucleotide transfer RNA is filed under the name Acaryochloris marina MBIC10699. Its description in RNAcentral is "tRNA-Trp". The record is from RNAcentral. Lineage: Bacteria; Bacillati; Cyanobacteriota; Cyanophyceae; Acaryochloridales; Acaryochloridaceae.
AACCUGCCAAAGCUGUUGGGAAAGCUGCAUUCGCUCCAGACGAUUGACAAGACGCACCACCAGUUCGGGGCCAACGACAGGUUU